Molecule: non-coding RNA, 93 nt
Organism: Mycena galopus ATCC 62051
Lineage: Eukaryota; Fungi; Basidiomycota; Agaricomycetes; Agaricales; Mycenaceae
Source: the annotation of a GenBank genome assembly
GGGCACAUGGUGUAGUUGGUUAUCACGCUCGCUUAGCAUUGGCGGAAGUUUCAAUAAUGCGAGAGGUGUUGGGUUCAAUUCCCAAUGUGUCCA